AAUGAACGCUGGCGGCGUGCUUAACACAUGCAAGUCGAACGAGAAAUUUCCCGCUUGCGGGAGAGAGUAAAGUGGCGCACGGGUGAGUAACGCGUGGAUAAUCUACCUUCGAAUCCGGAACAACAUUGCGAAAGCGAUGCUAAUACCGGAUAAUAUUUUAGUUUCUUCGGGAAUUGAGAUCAAAGACGGCCUCUGCUUGCAAGCUGUUGUUUGAAGAUGAGUCCGCGUACCAUUAGCUAGUUGGUGAGGUAACGGCUCACCAAGGCCGCGAUGGUUAGCUGGUCUGAGAGGAUGAUCAGCCACACUGGAACUGACACACGGUCCAGACUCCUACGGGAGGCAGCAGUGAGGAAUUUUGCGCAAUGGGGGAAACCCUGACGCAGCAACGCCGCGUGAGUGAUGAAGGCCUUUGGGUCGUAAAGCUCUGUCAAGUGGGAAGAAAUGGUUGGAGGUUAAUACCCUUCGAUUUUGACGGUACCACUGAAGAAGCACCGCUAAC
This 499-nucleotide ribosomal RNA is filed under the name uncultured bacterium. RNAcentral describes it as "bacterial SSU rRNA". It matches the Rfam family "Bacterial small subunit ribosomal RNA", at positions 29 to 501 of the family's 1533-position model. The record is from RNAcentral.